CCUACGGGAGGCAGCAGUGGGGAAUAUUGCACAAUGGGGGAAACCCUGAUGCAGCGACGCCGCGUGAGUGAAGAAGUAUUUCGGUAUGUAGAGCUCUAUCAGCAGGGAAGAAAAUGACGGUACCUGAUUAAGAAGCCACGGCUAACUACGUGCCAGAAGCCGCGGUAAUACGUAGGGGGCAAGCGUUAUCCGGAUUUACGGGGUGGAAAGGGAGCGUAGACGGCAGCACAAGUCUGGAGUGAAAUGCCGGGGCUUAACCCCGGGACUGCUUUGGAAACUGUGCAGCUAGAGUGCAGGAGAGGUAAGUGGAAUUCCUAGUGUAGCGGUGAAUUGCGUAGAUAUUAGGAGGAACACCAGUGGCGAAGGCGGCUUACUGGACUGUAACUGACGUUGAGGCUCGAAAGCGUGGGGAGCAAACAGGAUUAGAUACCCUUGUAGUC
Molecule: ribosomal RNA, 440 nt
Filed under: uncultured bacterium
Lineage: Bacteria
Description: partial 16S ribosomal RNA
Rfam family: Bacterial small subunit ribosomal RNA
Source: RNAcentral